CCUACGGGAGGCAGCAGUAAGGAAUAUUGGACAAUGGUCGGAAGACUGAUCCAGCCAUGCCGCGUGCAGGAAGAAGGCGCUCUGCGUUGUAAACUGCUUUUGGACAGGAACAAAACUACCCGUGCGCGGGUAUCUGAGGGUACUGUCAGAAUAAGCACCGGCUAACUCCGUGCCAGCAGCCGCGGUAAUACGGAGGGUGCAAGCGUUAUCCGGAAUCACUGGGUUUAAAGGGUGCGUAGGCGGUAGAAUAAGUCAGUCGUGAAAUCGCUGGGCUUAACCCAUGCAACUGCGAUUGAUACUGUUUUACUUGAAUGAGGUUGAGGUAGGCGGAAUGUGGCAUGUAGCGGUGAAAUGCUUAGAUAUGCCAUAGAACACCGAUUGCGAAGGCAGCUUGCUGGACCUGAAUUGACGCUGAGCACGAAGACGUGGUAGACAACAGAUAGUAUACCUACGUAGUCGACGACCCUAACCGACUAGUUUACUUGUCUCGUUCCGGUCCGU
RNAcentral lists this ribosomal RNA (501 nucleotides) under uncultured bacterium. RNAcentral's name for it is "bacterial SSU rRNA". It matches the Rfam family "Bacterial small subunit ribosomal RNA", at positions 338 to 835 of the family's 1533-position model. The record is from RNAcentral.